CCUACGGGAGGCAGCAGUGGGGGAUAUUGCACAAUGGGGGAAACCCUGAUGCAGCGACGCCGCGUGGGUGAAGAAGUAUUUCGGUAUGUAAAGCCCUAUCAGCAGGGAAGAAAGAAGACGGUACCUGACUAAGAAGCCCCGGCUAACUACGUGCCAGCAGCCGCGGUAAUACGUAGGGGGCGAGCGUUAUCCGGAUUCACUGGGUGUAAAGGGAGCGUAGACGGCCGUGCAAGCCAGGAGUGAAAGCCCGGGGCCCAACCCCGGGACUGUUCUUGGAACUGUGCGGCUGGAGUGCGGGAGGGGCAGGCGGAAUUCCUGGUGUAGCGGUGAAAUGCGUAGAUAUCAGGAGGAACACCGGCGGCGAAGGCGGCCUGCUGGACCGCGACUGACGUUGAGGCUCGAAAGCGUGGGGAGCGAACAGGAUUAGAUACCCCAGUAGUC
Molecule: ribosomal RNA, 441 nt
Filed under: uncultured bacterium
Lineage: Bacteria
Description: partial 16S ribosomal RNA
Rfam family: Bacterial small subunit ribosomal RNA
Source: RNAcentral